This is a long non-coding RNA of Lutzomyia longipalpis, 1170 nucleotides long. RefSeq lists it as uncharacterized. The transcript has 3 exons. The record is from RefSeq and is a predicted model, not a curated record. Lineage: Eukaryota; Metazoa; Arthropoda; Insecta; Diptera; Psychodidae.
UGAAAUUUUUACACAACCUCCUCAGAUAACCAAAGAACUUAUUUCCCAGUGGGGAAAGGCUCGGCAUGUGAGGUAUACUGCCGAGAUUUUCGGCACAAUUACGGCACAAAUUUUAAUUCAAAACCAUCCGCGUAGUGGCGCAUAGUGCUUUGUCGUUAUUCUCGGCAUAUUUUCGGUAUUGUUGUUUUUUGGCAUGCACGGUGAAAAUAGUGGCGUGGGUUCACGAAAACCCAAUUUUCAGUGAUUUUCCUCAAUUUUCCGGCAAUCUAUUCGGUAAGUAAGUUAUCCUAAUGCGUAUAGAAUUAAUAAGAAAAUGGAAGAAUUCGUUUAAUGCGCCUAAAAAUAUGUAUUUUCUUUGUUUUCUUUAGCAUUGCUGUGUUGAAGGAGAUUUUGUUUGAACUUCUGAAGGACACCGUGACCGUACCCAUCCGGAACUAAAAUUUCAUUACAGGUUUAAUUUAGUCCAUAAUUAUAUUUGCAUUUUAAUUGUUUUGGGGUCUAAACGCACCGGAAUCUCAUCUUGAUUCAGCUAAUCAGGGGAGCCGGAUGCAUCGUUAGUUUAGUUAAAGAAUUUUAUAAUUUUUCUGGGAGAUGUAGCGUCAUCCCAUUUAUCUUAGUCUCACGCAUCUCAUGAAUGAAGUUCACGUGAAAACGGGGAAAACGUAUUCUUGGAAGCGUAAGAACUUUAUUUAAAUUCUAAUUUUGGUUUUUGGCUAAAAGUUAAUUUCAGGUAAGUGAUCAAGGAGGGAAACUUCAAACAAGUCCAUCGUCACGCCGGUUUGGAAUAGGAAACUUCACAGAGUCCACAAGGGAUGCUUAUGUAAAAGCAAAAAUGAGCAAUCCGGAUGCGGAAGAGAUCAGGAAUAUUGUACUUCUUCACUACAACCGGGAACAUCUAUCCAAUACUUUGUCAAAGGACGAUACAAAAUAGUGUUCCUGGAAUCAUGGAAUCCGGAAGGAAGCUUCAUUCACAUCCUUGUCGGUUUUGAUUUCCUGAAAUCCAUCACCAACAGGUCGUACGUCCAAUGUCUACUAAUGGAGUUUUGAUUUAGAGAAGCCCGUCUCCAGAUAGAAGUUAAGGAAAAACUACGCGAAGAACUGCGUUGGUGAGAAAACAAAUUAUAAUUGUAAAUAAAAUAAAAUUUUAAAUAAAAAAAGUAAAAAAAAGAA